GUGAGGAAUAUUGGUCAAUGGGCGCAAGCCUGAACCAGCCAUCCCGCGUGCAGGAAGACGGCGCUAUGCGUUGUAAACUGCUUUUCCAGGGAGAGAAACUUGCGCACGUGUUGCGCAAUUGACGGUACCCUGGGAAUAAGCAUCGGCUAACUCCGUGCCAGCAGCCGCGGUAAUACGGAGGAUGCGAGCGUUAUCCGGAUUCAUUGGGUUUAAAGGGUGCGUAGGCGGACUAUUAAGUCAGUGGUGAAAUCCUGCAGCUUAACUGCAGAACUGCCAUUGAUACUGAUAGCCUUGAGUUUGGUUAAGGUAGGCGGAAUGUGUAAUGUAGCGGUGAAAUGCUUAGAUAUUACACAGAACACCAAUUGCGUAGGCAGCUUACUGAGCCGACACUGACGCUGAGGCACGAAAGCGUGGGGAUCGAACAGGAUUAGAAACCCCUGUAGUCC
Molecule: ribosomal RNA, 446 nt
Filed under: uncultured bacterium
Lineage: Bacteria
Description: partial 16S ribosomal RNA
Rfam family: Bacterial small subunit ribosomal RNA
Source: RNAcentral